This is a non-coding RNA of Mus caroli (Ryukyu mouse), 760 nucleotides long. The record is from RefSeq and is a predicted model, not a curated record. Lineage: Eukaryota; Metazoa; Chordata; Mammalia; Rodentia; Muridae.
AGUUACAGCUGCUUGCCCUGGGAGCCAGUGCAAAGAAGAGUGGUGUCCUGGAGGUUUCCUGUGUGUUGUGCAAAUCCUGUUAGCUCCUUGGGAAGGGACUGCAGUCUCUGAGUUGAGAUGGUAAUGCAGACCACCAUCAGGCAAUCACUCUUCAUCCUAGCAGGACGAACCGCGGGACAAAGGCUCUGUGGCGGCAGCUACUCAGCUCAGCGAGGAGGGGAGACCAUGGCCACCCGGGGUGCCUCUACCCCCGGCGCACCCGCCUUUGUCUGCCCCGCCGCCGUGAUCCGGGUCUGCAUGAAGCGGGCGCCAUCGUGUGGCCAGAAUCUGGUAUUGCAGUGCAGGUGGCACGGCGGGACCACGAGAAUGUUGAUAACAUCAUGGUGGUCACUACAUUGGAUGUAAAGAUGCCUUCUAUUAUGUGUGUUGUGUAUAGAUGUACUUCUAAUCAGGGGAUCUGAGCAAACGCCAGGAUAAAAAGGAGGAAAUUACGUACUUGCCUAUGUAUAGUGAAGAAAAGAUAUCUAGACUCAUGAUUGAGAAUACUUGCUAACACUGUUGUCUGACUCCUCUUGGGAUACCUCUGGGACCUCACAAAAGAAUAGAAUUCCAGUACUGCUGGGUGACCUACAGAAACUGUUUAGAACUCAAGAGCGGGAGAGUGGUUUCUAAUUCUUAUGACCAUUCAAUACCAUGGCCGCAUGUACUCUUUCUCAAACUAAAGCAUUUCAUAGUCAAAAUAAAAAAUAUGUCUGAGACG